CUUAUACUCAAUCAUACACAUGA
Molecule: non-coding RNA, 23 nt
Filed under: Arabidopsis thaliana (thale cress)
Lineage: Eukaryota; Viridiplantae; Streptophyta; Magnoliopsida; Brassicales; Brassicaceae
Source: RNAcentral